AGGCCUAACACAUGCAAGUCGAGCGCGCCCUUCGGGGUGAGCGGCGGACGGGUUAGUAACGCGUGGGAAUAUACCCUUUGGUACGGAAUAGCCUCUGGAAACGGAGAGUAAUACCGUAUGAGCCCUUCGGGGGAAAGAUUUAUCGCCAAAGGAUUAGCCCGCGUUAGAUUAGGUAGUUGGUGGGGUAAUGGCCUACCAAGCCUACGAUCUAUAGCUGGUUUUAGAGGAUGAUCAGCAACACUGGGACUGAGACACGGCCCAGACUCCUACGGGAGGCAGCAGUGGGGAAUCUUGGACAAUGGGGGCAACCCUGAUCCAGCCAUGCCGCGUGAGUGAUGAAGGCCUUAGGGUCGUAAAGCUCUUUCGCCUGUGAUGAUAAUGACGGUAGCAGGUAAAGAAACCCCGGCUAACUCCGUGCCAGCAGCCGCGGUAAUACGGAGGGGGUUAGCGUUGUUCGGAAUUACUGGGCGUAAAGCGCACGUAGGCGGAUCGGAAAGUUGGGGGUGAAAUCCCGGGGCUCAACCCCGGAACUGCCUCCAAAACUAUCGGUCUAGAGUUCGAGAGAGGUGAGUGGAAUUCCGAGUGUAGAGGUGAAAUUCGUAGAUAUUCGGAGGAACACCAGUGGCGAAGGCGGCUCACUGGCUCGAUACUGACGCUGAGGUGCGAAAGUGUGGGGAGCAAACAGGAUUAGAUACCCUGGUAGUCCACACCGUAAACGAUGAAUGCCAGUCGUCGGGUAGCAUGCUAUUC
This 750-nucleotide ribosomal RNA is filed under the name uncultured bacterium. Its description in RNAcentral is "bacterial SSU rRNA". It matches the Rfam family "Bacterial small subunit ribosomal RNA", at positions 44 to 841 of the family's 1533-position model. The record is from RNAcentral.